RNAcentral lists this ribosomal RNA (579 nucleotides) under uncultured bacterium. Its description in RNAcentral is "bacterial SSU rRNA". It matches the Rfam family "Bacterial small subunit ribosomal RNA", at positions 337 to 916 of the family's 1533-position model. The record is from RNAcentral.
UCCUACGGGAGGCAGCAGUGAGGAAUCUUGCGCAAUGGGCGAAAGCCUGACGCAGCCACGCCGCGUGCCGGAUGAAGGCCCUAUGGGUUGUAAACGGCUUUUAAGCAGGAAGAACGACCGGAUUUCGAUCUGGUGUGACGGUACUGCUUGAAUAAGCACCGGCUAACUCCGUGCCAGCAGCCGCGGUAAUACGGAGGGUGCAAGCGUUGUCCGGAAUCAUUGGGUGUAAAGGGUGCGUAGGCGGGCGUCUAAGUCUGGGGUGAAAUCUUGCCGCUUAACGGUAAAAUGGCCUUGGAUACUGGGCGUCUUGAGUGUAGAAGAGGUAAGUGGAAUUCGUAGUGUAGCGGUGAAAUGCAUAGAUAUUACGAAGAACAUCAGUGGCGAAGGCGGCUUACUGGUCUACAACUGACGCUGAGGCACGAAAGCGUGGGGAGCGAACAGGAUUAGAUACCCUGGUAGUCCACGCUGUAAACGAUGCAUACUAGGUGUUGGCCUUUCGGGGCCAGUGCUGCAGUUAACGCAUUAAGUAUGCCACCUGGGGAGUACGUCGGCAACGAUGAAACUCAAAUGAAUUGACGG